Molecule: long non-coding RNA, 711 nt
Organism: Mesoplodon densirostris (Blainville's beaked whale)
Lineage: Eukaryota; Metazoa; Chordata; Mammalia; Artiodactyla; Ziphiidae
Exons: 4
Source: RefSeq, a predicted model, not a curated record
GCCGAGGACAGACCAAUCUCUUUGAGGCUUGUGAGAGACGGUGUGCGUUUGAAUGUUGAACGUAAGGAACCUAGUAAAAACCUAAAGAGCCUUGGAAGUGGGCCUGUGCCAAGGGACCCACCAAGAGGGGCUUCCAUCCCCACAGCCAACACCCAACAGAUGAGGGAGGUCAGAAGAAAAGAGUUCCUAAUCCUAUAACAAAGGCUGAAUCAGGGGGACUGUGUUGCUGGAAUUUCAUCCAUUGACCUAAAAAAUGGUUCUGGAAAAGCGUAUCAAGGCCCUGCAAAAGAUUCUGCUGAUGUAACCAUCACGCUUUCAGAUGAAGAUUUCAUGGAAGUAGUCUUGGGCAAGCUUGAUCCUCAGAAGGCAUUCUUUAGUGGCAGACUGAAGGCCAGAGGGAACAUCAUGUUGAGCCAGAAGCUUCAGAUGAUUCUUAAAGAAUAUGCCAAGCUCUGAAGGAUAUACUAUGUUAUUAAUUACAAUAGAAAAAUUAAAUACUCUCUUCAACUAAAUAUGCAGAAGUGAUUCAGCAAAAAUGGUCAAAAUUAAGAUACAGGGGAAAUUGCUUAACAUUUUCAGAUUACAGAUAACUUUUUAGAUGUUCAUUUUCUACUAAUUUUUCAUGUUAUUACUUUUACAAGGAACUGUAAGCUGGCACAUGAUUAUCCUUCUGUUCUUAGACCUAUGUCUUCACAAUAAAAAAGUUUCACU